GAUGAACGCUGGCGGCGUGCUUAACACAUGCAAGUCGAACGGGAUCCCAGGAGCUUGCUCCUGGGUGAGAGUGGCGAACGGGUGAGUAAUGCGUGACCGACCUGCCCCAUACACCGGAAUAGCUCCUGGAAACGGGUGGUAAUGCCGGAUGCUCCAACAUGACGCAUGUCGUGUUGGGAAAGAUUCAUCGGUAUGGGAUGGGGUCGCGUCCUAUCAGCUUGAUGGCGGGGUAACGGCCCACCAUGGCUUCGACGGGUAGCCGGCCUGAGAGGGCGACCGGCCACAUUGGGACUGAGAUACGGCCCAGACUCCUACGGGAGGCAGCAGUGGGGAAUAUUGCACAAUGGGCGCAAGCCUGAUGCAGCGACGCCGCGUGCGGGAUGACGGCCUUCGGGUUGUAAACCGCUUUUGACUGGGAGCAAGCCCUUCGGGGUGAGUGUACCU
RNAcentral lists this ribosomal RNA (444 nucleotides) under uncultured bacterium. RNAcentral describes it as "bacterial SSU rRNA". It matches the Rfam family "Bacterial small subunit ribosomal RNA", at positions 28 to 480 of the family's 1533-position model. The record is from RNAcentral.